This 1617-nucleotide ribosomal RNA is filed under the name Pseudoalteromonas undina DSM 6065. RNAcentral describes it as "bacterial LSU rRNA". It matches the Rfam family "Bacterial large subunit ribosomal RNA", at positions 1329 to 2925 of the family's 2925-position model. Lineage: Bacteria; Pseudomonadati; Pseudomonadota; Gammaproteobacteria; Alteromonadales; Pseudoalteromonadaceae. The record is from RNAcentral.
CCCGCACGCCGGAAGACCAAGGGUUCCUAUCCCAUGUUAAUCAGGGUAGGGUAAGUCGACCCCUAAGGCGAGGCCGAAAGGCGUAGUCGAUGGGAAACGGAUUAAUAUUUCCGUACUUGGUAUAAUUGCGAUGGGGGGACGGAGCAGGCUAAGCAAGCAUGGCGAUGGUAGUCCAUGUGAAAGUGUGUAGGCUAGCGACUUAGGUAAAUCCGGGUUGCUGUUAGGCUGAGACACGAGACGAGUCACUACGGUGAUGAAGUUGCUGAUGCCAUACUUCCAGGAAAAGCCUCUAAGCUUCAGAUUAUACCGAAUCGUACCCCAAACCGACACAGGUGGUCAGGUAGAGAAUACUAAGGCGCUUGAGAGAACUCGGGUGAAGGAACUAGGCAAAAUCGUACCGUAACUUCGGGAGAAGGUACGCUCCGAUUGGUGAUGAGACUUGCUCUCUAAGCUGAUUGGAGCCGCAGUGACCAGGUGGCUGGGACUGUUUAUUAAAAACACAGCACUGUGCAAAAUCGCAAGAUGACGUAUACGGUGUGACACCUGCCCGGUGCCGGAAGGUUAAUUGAUGGGGUUAUCUUCGGAGAAGCUCUUGAUCGAAGCCCCGGUAAACGGCGGCCGUAACUAUAACGGUCCUAAGGUAGCGAAAUUCCUUGUCGGGUAAGUUCCGACCUGCACGAAUGGUGUAACCAUGGCCACGCUGUCUCCACCCGAGACUCAGUGAAAUUGAAAUCGCAGUGAAGAUGCUGUGUACCCGCGGCUAGACGGAAAGACCCCGUGAACCUUUACUACAGCUUGGCACUGAACAUUGAACCUACAUGUGUAGGAUAGGUGGGAGACUUUGAAGAUGAGACGCUAGUUUUGUUGGAGUCGUCCUUGAAAUACCACCCUUGUAGUUUUGAUGUUCUAACGUUGGCCCCUGAAUCGGGGUUACGGACAGUGCCUGGUGGGUAGUUUGACUGGGGCGGUCUCCUCCCAAAGAGUAACGGAGGAGCACGAAGGUUGGCUAAGUACGGUCGGACAUCGUACGGUUAGUGUAAUGGUAGAAGCCAGCUUAACUGCGAGACAGACACGUCGAGCAGGUACGAAAGUAGGUCAUAGUGAUCCGGUGGUUCUGAAUGGAAGGGCCAUCGCUCAACGGAUAAAAGGUACUCCGGGGAUAACAGGCUGAUACCGCCCAAGAGUUCAUAUCGACGGCGGUGUUUGGCACCUCGAUGUCGGCUCAUCACAUCCUGGGGCUGAAGUCGGUCCCAAGGGUAUGGCUGUUCGCCAUUUAAAGUGGUACGCGAGCUGGGUUUAGAACGUCGUGAGACAGUUCGGUCCCUAUCUGCCGUGGGCGUUUGAGAAUUGAGAGGGGUUGCUCCUAGUACGAGAGGACCGGAGUGAACGAACCGCUGGUGUUCGGGUUGUCAUGCCAAUGGCAUUGCCCGGUAGCUACGUUCGGAACUGAUAAGCGCUGAAAGCAUCUAAGCGCGAAGCAGGCCUCGAGAUGAGUUCUCACUAGACUUUUAAAGUCUCUGAAGGGCCGUUGAAGACUACAACGUUGAUAGGCAAGAUGUGGAAGUGGUGUGAGCCAUUAAGCUAACUUGUACUAAUUACCCGUGAGGCUUAACCAUA